UAGGGAAUCUUCGGCAAUGGACGAAAGUCUGACCGAGCAACGCCGCGUGAGUGAAGAAGGUUUUCGGAUCGUAAAACUCUGUUGUUAGAGAAGAACAAGGACGUUAGUAACUGAACGUCCCCUGACGGUAUCUAACCAGAAAGCCACGGCUAACUACGUGCCAGCAGCCGCGGUAAUACGUAGGUGGCAAGCGUUGUCCGGAUUUAUUGGGCGUAGAGCGAGCGCAGGCGGUUUCUUAAGUCUGAUGUGAAAGCCCCCGGCUCAACCGGGGAGGGUCAUUGGAAACUGGGAGACUUGAGUGCAGAAGAGGAGAGUGGAAUUCCAUGUGUAGCGGUGAAAUGCGUAGAUAUAUGGAGGAACACCAGUGGCGAAGGCGGCUCUCUGGUCUGUAACUGACGCUGAGGCUCGAAAGCGUGGGGAGCAAACAGG
This 429-nucleotide ribosomal RNA is filed under the name Chloroflexota bacterium. RNAcentral describes it as "Chloroflexi bacterium partial 16S ribosomal RNA". It matches the Rfam family "Bacterial small subunit ribosomal RNA", at positions 355 to 776 of the family's 1533-position model. RNAcentral also lists the same sequence under 1 other name. Lineage: Bacteria; Bacillati; Chloroflexota. The record is from RNAcentral.